RNAcentral lists this ribosomal RNA (1244 nucleotides) under metagenome. RNAcentral describes it as "bacterial LSU rRNA". It matches the Rfam family "Bacterial large subunit ribosomal RNA", at positions 1564 to 2817 of the family's 2925-position model. The record is from RNAcentral.
UGAGUACGAGAUGCUACGGCAUCGAAGCAGUCUAUGUCAUACUUCCAAGAAAAGCUUGCACUGUCAGAAACAGAUAAUGCCUGUACCAUAACCGACACAGGUGGGUAGGUAGAGUAUACUAAGGGGCGCGAGAUAACUCUCUCUGAGGAACUCGGCAAAAUGACUCCGUAACUUCGGGAGAAGGAGUGCCUUAUUUUUAAGGUUGCAAUAACAAGAUCCAAGCAACUGUUUACCAAAAACACAGGUCUCCGCUAAGUCGUAAGACGAUGUAUGGGGGCUGACGCCUGCCCAGUGCCAGAAGGUUAAAGAAGUCGGUUAGCAUUCGCGAAGCUGGUAACUGAAGCCCUGGUGAACGGCGGCCGUAACUAUAACGGUCCUAAGGUAGCGAAAUUCCUUGUCGGGUAAGUUCCGACCCGCACGAAAGGCGUAAUGAUUUGGAUACUGUCUCGGAGAGGGGCUCGGUGAAAUAGACUUGUCUGUGAAGAUGCGGACUACCUGCACCUGGACAGAAAGACCCUAUGAAGCUUUACUGUAACUUGAAAUUGAAAUUGGACUUUAUUUGCGCAGUAUAGGUGGGAGGCGUUGAAAAUAUUCUUGCGGGAAUAUUGGAGCCAUCAGUGAGAUACCACUCUUGUAAUGUUAGAUUUCUAACUUUAUAUCAUUAUCUGGUUAAAGAACAGUUUCAGGCGGGCAGUUUGACUGGGGCGGUCGCCUCCCAAAUGGUAACGGAGGCGCACAAAGGUUUCCUCUGAACGGGUAGAAAUCGUAUCUAGAGUGUAAAGGCAUAAGGAAGCUUGACUGUGAGACCUACAAGUCGAGCAGGGACGAAAGUCGGUCUUAGUGAUCUGACGGUGCUGAGUGGAAAGGCCGUCACUCAACGGAUAAAAGUUACUCUAAGGAUAACAGGCUGAUCUCCCCCAAGAGUUCACAUCGACGGGGAGGUUUGGCACCUCGAUGUCGGCUCAUCGCAUCCUGGGGCGGUAGUACGUCCCAAGGGUUGGGCUGUUCGCCCAUGAAAGCGGUACGCGAGCUGGGUUCAGAACGUCGUGAGACAGUUCGGUCCAUAUCCGGUGUAGGCGUUAGAAUAUUGAGAGGAGCCUUCUUUAGUACGAGAGGACCGAGAAGGACAUACCUCUGGUGUACCAGUUAUCGUGCCAACGGUAAACGCUGGGUAGCUAUGUAUGGAGUGGAUAACCGCUGAAAGCAUCUAAGUGGGAAGCCCACCUCAAGAUAAGUAUUCUCGU